UGCCCAGCACAUAAACACUGUUCAGGACAC
This 30-nucleotide non-coding RNA is filed under the name Rattus norvegicus (Norway rat). Lineage: Eukaryota; Metazoa; Chordata; Mammalia; Rodentia; Muridae. The record is from RNAcentral.